UACGGAGGGGGCUAGCGUUGUUCGGAAUUACUGGGCGUAAAGCGCACGUAGGCGGCUUUGUAAGUUAGAGGUGAAAGCCCGGGGCUCAACCCCCGGAAUAGCCUUUAAGACUGCAUCGCUUGAACACGGGAGAGGUGAGUGGAAUUCCGAGUGUAGAGGUGAAAUUCGUAGAUAUUCGGAAGAACACCAGUGGCGAAGGCGGCUCACUGGACCGUUGUUGACGCUGAGGUGCGAAAGCGUGGGGAGCAAACAGG
Molecule: ribosomal RNA, 254 nt
Filed under: uncultured bacterium
Lineage: Bacteria
Description: partial 16S ribosomal RNA
Rfam family: Bacterial small subunit ribosomal RNA
Source: RNAcentral